AGUCGAGCGGAUCGAUGGGAGCUUGCUCCCUGAGAUCAGCGGCGGACGGGUGAGUAACACGUGGGUAACCUGCCUGUAAGACUGGGAUAACUCCGGGAAACCGGGGCUAAUACCGGAUAAUUUAGUUCCUCGCAUGAGGAACUGUUGAAAGGUGGCUUUUCCCUACCACUUACAGAUGGACCCGCGGCGCAUUACCUAGUUGGUGAGGUAACGGCUCACCAAGGCAACGAUGCGUAGCCAACCUGAAAGGGUGAUCGGCCACACUGGGACUGAAACACGGCCCAAACUCCUACGGGAGGCAGCAGUAGGGAAUCUUCCGCAAUGGACAAAAGUCUGACGGACCAACGCCGCGUGAGUGAAAAAGGUUUUCGGAUCGUAAAACUCUGUUGUUAGGGAAAAACAAGUGCCGUUCGAAUAGGGCGGCCCCUUGACGGUACCUAACCAAAAAGCCACGGCUAACUACUUGCCACCAGCCGCGGUAAUACGUAGGUGGCAAGCGUUGUCCGGAAUUAUUGGGCGUAAAGCGCGCGCAGGUGGUUUCUUAAGUCUGAUGUGAAAGCCCACGGCUCAACCGUGAAGGGUCAUUGGAAACUGGGGAAC
Molecule: ribosomal RNA, 600 nt
Filed under: Bacillus haikouensis
Lineage: Bacteria; Bacillati; Bacillota; Bacilli; Caryophanales; Bacillaceae
Description: bacterial SSU rRNA
Rfam family: Bacterial small subunit ribosomal RNA
Source: RNAcentral